Molecule: ribosomal RNA, 402 nt
Filed under: uncultured bacterium
Lineage: Bacteria
Description: bacterial SSU rRNA
Rfam family: Bacterial small subunit ribosomal RNA
Source: RNAcentral
UAAGGAAUAUUGGUCAAUGGGCGGAAGCCUGAACCAGCCAUCCCGCGUGCAGGAUGAAGGCCCUAUGGGCUGUAAACUGCUUUAGACUGAGAAGAAACCCCUCAAUGCGUUGGGGGCUGACGGUAUCAGUAGAAUAAGCACCGGCUAACUCCGUGCCAGCAGCCGCGGUAAUACGGAGGGUGCAAGCGUUAUCCGGAAUCACUGGGUUUAAAGGGUGCGUAGGCGGCUUGAUAAGUCAGAGGUGAAAGCCCGCAGCUUAACUGCGGAACUGCCUUUGAUACUGUUGAGCUUGAAACAGGACGAGGUUGGCGGAAUGUGGCAUGUAGCGGUGAAAUGCAUAGAUAUGCCAUAGAACACCGAUUGCGAAGGCAGCUGGCUAGACCUGAUUUGACGCUGAGGCAC